GUGGGGGAAUUUUGGACAAUGGGCGCAAGCCUGAUCCAGCAAUGCCGUGUGAGUGAAGAAGGCCUUCGGGUUGUAAAGCUCUUUUGUCAGGGAAGAAACGGUGAGUUCUAAUACAGCUUACUAAUGACGGUACCUGAAGAAUAAGCACCGGCUAACUACGUGCCAGCAGCCGCGGUAAUACGUAGGGUGCAAGCGUUAAUCGGAAUUACUGGGCGUAAAGCGUGCGCAGGCGGUUAUGUAAGUCAGAUGUGAAAUCCCCGGGCUCAACCUGGGAAUGGCAUUUGAGACUGCAUGGCUAGAGUGUGUCAGAGGGGGGUAGAAUUCCACGUGUAGCAGUGAAAUGCGUAGAGAUGUGGAGGAAUACCGAUGGCGAAGGCAGCCCCCUGGGAUAACACUGACGCUCAUGCACGAAAGCGUGGGGAGCAAACAGGAUUAGAUACCCUGGUAGUCCACGCCCUAAACGAUGUCUACUAGUUGUCGGGACUUAAUUGUCUUGGUAACGCAGCUAACGCGUGAAGUAGACCGCCUGGGGAGUACGGUCGCAAGAUUAAAAC
This 554-nucleotide ribosomal RNA is filed under the name bacterium. Its description in RNAcentral is "bacterial SSU rRNA". It matches the Rfam family "Bacterial small subunit ribosomal RNA", at positions 353 to 900 of the family's 1533-position model. The record is from RNAcentral.